Molecule: long non-coding RNA, 2292 nt
Filed under: Callithrix jacchus (white-tufted-ear marmoset)
Lineage: Eukaryota; Metazoa; Chordata; Mammalia; Primates; Cebidae
Description: lncRNA (ENSCJAG00000083474.1)
Source: RNAcentral
AUGGAACCCAGGAGAGGAAAGAGCUUCCACGCUGAGUGGAAGGGAAUAGAGAUGGGGUUUAGGAGGGAAGACAGGCUUCCACAGGAGAGUGUGGUAGGGGACCCCAGAGGGGAAAUCCAGGAGAGGGAAAGACGCUUUCACGAGGUAGUGUUCCUGGAAGGGGACCCCAGAGGGAAAAUCCAGGAGAGAGAAAGAUGCUUCCACCAGGGAGUGUUCCUGGAAGGGGACCCGAGAGGGGAAAUCCAGGAGAGGGAAAGACGCUUCCACCAGGGAGUGUUCCUGGAAGGGGAUCACAGAGGGGAAAUCCAGGAGAGGGAAAGACGCUUCCACCAGGGAGUGUUCCUGGAAGGGGACCCCAGAGGGGAAAUCCAGGAGAGGGAAAGGCGCUUCCAUGAGACAGUGAGGAAGGGAAAGACGCUUCCACCAGGGAGUGUUCCUGGAAGGGGACCCCAGAGGGGAAAUCCAGGAGAGGGAAAGAUGCUUCCACCAGGGAGUGUUCCUGGAAGGGAUCCAAACAUGGAGUCAGAAGGGGUGUGGGAGUAGGGGGCUUCUGACCUGUCAGCAAAGUGAGAGAACCACGUACAUAAUGGAAGAAAAUAUCUACAGAUCCGACGUUUGAUAAACAUCUAGUAUCUAGAGUAUAGAAAGAACUUUUUUCUCCAACUGUUAUUUUAGAAUCAGGUGGUCUGUGUGCAGUUGUGUCACACGGGUGUAUUGUGUGAUGCUGAGCUUUGGAGUAGGAAUGAAUCCAUCACCACAACAGUGACGGUAGCACCCAGUAGUUUCUCAGCCCUCGCCCACUCCCUUUCUUCCUCCCUCCUCUGGUUCCCCAGUGUCUAUGGUUUCCAUCUUUCUGUCCAUGUGGACUCAAUGUUUAGCUCUCACUUAUAAGUGAGGAUAUGUGGUAUUUGGUUUUCUGCUUCUGCAUUAACUCUCUUAGAAUAAUUGUUUCUAGCUGCAUCCAUAUUGCUGCAAAAGAAAUGACUUCAUUCUUUUUAAUGGCCAUGUCGUAUUCCAUGGUGUAUAUGGACCAUAUUUUCUUUAUCCAAUCCACCACUGAUGGGCACCGGUUGAUUCCACGUCUUUGCUUCUGUGAAGAGCAUUGCAAUGAACAUAUGGAUGUAUGUGACGGAUGUAUGCGUCUUUUUGGUAGAAUGAUUUAUUUUCCUUUGGGCAUAUACUUAAUACUAAGAUUGCUGGGUCAAAUAGUAAUUCAACUCAUAGUUGUUUGAGAAAUCUCCAAAGUGCUCUCCAUGGUGGCCCAAUUCAUUUACAUUCCCAGUAACAGUGUACAAGUGUUCUCUUCUCUCUCAAGUUCUGCCAGCAUCUGUUUUCAGCUCUUUUUAUUUUAUUUUUAUUUUUUUAGUGUAGUAGCAGUCAUUUUUAAAAUUUUACUCUAGGUUCUGAGGUACAUGUGCAGUUCAGGCAAGAUUGUUGCAUAGGUGCAUACAUAACCAGGUGGUUUACUGCCUCUAUUCCCAGUUGGUCUAUAUCUGGCUUUUCUCCCUAUGUUAUCCCUCCCCACCCCCACUGUCCCUCCCCUAACCCCCCACCCCCAGUGUCUGAUGCUCCUCUCCCUGAGUGCAUGUGUUCUUAUUGUCCAGCACCCGCCUAUGAGUGAGAACAUGCAGUGUUUGUUUUUCUGUUCUUGUGUCAGUUUGCUGAGGAUGAUGGUUUCCAGGUUAAUCCAAGUCCCUGCAAAGGACACAAACUCAUCAUUUUUUAUGGCUGUGUAGUAUUCCAUGGUGUAUACAUGCCACAUUUUGCUUGUCCAGUCUAUCACUGAUUGGCAUUUGGGUUGGUUCCAGGUCUUUGCUAUUGUACACAGUGCUGCAGUGAACAUACAUGUGCAUGUGUCUUAUAACAGAAUGAUUUAUAGUCCUGUGGGUGUAUACCCAGUAAUGGGAUUGCUGGGUCAAAUGGAAGUUCUGUUUCUAGGUCCUUGAGAAGUCGCCACACCGUCUUCCACAAUGGUUGAGCUAAUUUACACUCCCACCAACCAUGUAAAAGUGUUCCUAUUUCUCCACAUCCUCUCCAGCAUCUAUUGUCUUCAGAUUAUUUAAUGAUUGCCAUUCUAACUGGUGUGAGAUGGUAUCUCAAUGUAGUUUUGAUUUGCAUUUCUCUAAUGACCAGUGACGAUGAGCAUUUUCUCGUAUGUUUGUUGGCCUCAUAUAUGUCUUCUUGUGAAAAGUGUCUGUUCAUAUCCUUUGCUCACUUUUGAAUGGGUUUGUUUGUUUGUUUCUUGUUAAUCUGUUUUAGUUCUUUGUAGAUUCUGGAUAUUAGCCUUUUGUC